AACGAACGCUGGCGGCAUGCCUAACACAUGCAAGUCGAACGAGACCUUCGGGUCUAGUGGCGCACGGGUGCGUAACGCGUGGGAACCUGCCCUUAGGUUCGGAAUAACUCCCCGAAAGGGGUGCUAAUACCGGAUAAUGUCUUCGGACCAAAGAUUUAUCGCCUUUGGAUGGGCCCGCGUUUGAUUAGCUAGUUGGUAGGGUAAAAGCCUACCAAGGCGACGAUCCAUAGCUGGUCUGAGAGGAUGAUCAGCCACACUGGGACUGAGACACGGCCCAGACUCCUACGGGAGGCAGCAGUGGGGAAUAUUGGACCAUGGGCGAAAUCCUGAUCCAGCAAUGCCGCGUGAGUGAUGAAGGCCUUAGGGUUGUAAAGCUCUUUUACCCGGGAUGAUAAUGACAGUACCGGGAGAAUAAGCUCCGGCUAACUCCGUG
This 433-nucleotide ribosomal RNA is filed under the name uncultured bacterium. RNAcentral's name for it is "partial 16S ribosomal RNA". It matches the Rfam family "Bacterial small subunit ribosomal RNA", at positions 29 to 507 of the family's 1533-position model. The record is from RNAcentral.